GAUGAACGCUGGCGGCGUGCCUAAUACAUGCAGGUCGAGCGCACAGACGAGGCGCUUGCUCCUCUGACGUUAGCCGCGGAGGGGUGAGUAACACGUGGAUACCCUACCUAUAAGACUGGGAUAGCUGCGGGAAACCGGGGCUCAUACCGGAUAAUAGCUUGAUCCUCAUGGUUCCAUAAUGAAAGACUGUUUUGUGCUCACUUAUCACUAGAUCAGCGACGCAUUAGCUAGUAGGUAAGGUAACGGCUUACCAAGGCGACGAUCCGUAGCCGACCUGAGAGGGUGAUCGGCCACACUGGAACUGAGACACGGUCCAGACUCCUACGGGAGGCAGCAGUAGGGAAUCUUCCGCAAUGGGCGAAAGCCUGACGGAGCAACGCCGCGUGAGUGAUGAAGGUUUUCGGAUCGUAAAGCUCUGUUAUUAGGGAAGAACAAAUGUGUAAGUAACUAGGCACGUCUGGAAGGUAACUAUUCAGAAAGGCACGGCUAACUUCGGU
Molecule: ribosomal RNA, 497 nt
Filed under: uncultured bacterium
Lineage: Bacteria
Description: partial 16S ribosomal RNA
Rfam family: Bacterial small subunit ribosomal RNA
Source: RNAcentral